GAUGAACGCUAGCUACAGGCUUAACACAUGCAAGUCGAGGGGUAACAAGGGGAAAGCUUACCUUCCUUGUUGACGACCGGCGCACGGGUGAGUAACGCGUAUCCAACCUGCCUAUAACUAGGGAAUAACCUUGCGAAAGUAAGACUAAUACCCUAUGAUUUCCUUUGAUGACAUCAGAUUAGGAAUAAAGAUUUAUCGGUUAUAGAUGGGGAUGCGUCUGAUUAGCUUGUUGGCGGGGUAACGGCCCACCAAGGCAACGAUCAGUAGGGGUUCUGAGAGGAAGGUCCCCCACAAUGGAACUGAGACACGGUCCAAACUCCUACGGGAGGCAGCAGUGAGGAAUAUUGGUCAAUGGGCGGAAGCCUGAACCAGCCAAGUAGCGUGCAGGAUGACGGCCCUAUGGGUUGUAAACUGCUUUUAUACAGGAAUAAAGUUAGCCACGUGUGGUUAUUUGUAGGUACUGUAUGAAUAAGGACCGGCUAAUUCCGUGCCAGCAGCCGCCGUAA
This 506-nucleotide ribosomal RNA is filed under the name uncultured bacterium. Its description in RNAcentral is "partial 16S ribosomal RNA". It matches the Rfam family "Bacterial small subunit ribosomal RNA", at positions 28 to 523 of the family's 1533-position model. The record is from RNAcentral.